This 88-nucleotide microRNA precursor is filed under the name Loxodonta africana (African savanna elephant). Its description in RNAcentral is "miRNA (ENSLAFG00000029823.1)". Lineage: Eukaryota; Metazoa; Chordata; Mammalia; Proboscidea; Elephantidae. The record is from RNAcentral.
CAUUACCUGGGGAGCUUGUUAAAAUGUAGAUCCUGAGAAGUGGGUGAUGAGAUUCUGCAUUUCCAGCAAGUUCUCAAGUUAUGCUGAU